UUUAAGUUCAUUGUUUGAGUUUCUUGGUCGAUCAUUUAGAAUAAAGAAGAUACAGAAUGAAACAUAGUGAGUUUUUUUUGGGGUCAUGCAAUUUCAUUUUAACUAUCAGAAUUCAGAUAUGUGUAUCAUAGGGAGGGGGGUUUGAUAAAGGGAUAUGGGUAUCACUUAUAUAACAUUUAUUUUUCUUCAAUGUGUUUCCUUUUUUAGGUUUCCAGUUGAUAGAUAGUUGGGGAGCAUAAGCAUGAGAGUUCUCUUCCAUUUUGGUGAGAUGUUUUCUCAAUGUGGAUAUUCCCUUCAAUUUCUAUGAUGACACACCAAAUGUACAUCAUCUGUUUACUUAGAUUCAGUUCUUGUCAACUCUUGCAUGCUGGUAAAUUACAAUUGAGUUAGGUUGUCCUUUCUUAUUAGUAAGUAACCUUUUGAUUUGACCUUAAGUUCACUUGUUUUCCCUUCUUUUUUCGGGUCUCUCUAUAAAGAUUUAUGUGCUCACCUAUUUAUAGUUUUUACUAGUUUCCAGUUUAUUAUUUUCCCUUAUUGAGUUCUUUCCAUGACCUUUUUUAUGUUGUUAUACAUGAGCUAUGCAGUUGUAUAUUUGCAAUUGUUCACUUCUCUUGAAUGUGUACCAAUUUUUUUUUUUUUUUUUUUUUUAAAUAUUGUAUCAUAAUCGAGGACUUUCUUUUGCUUUUCCUUAACAAUGGAGCAUUUUAGAUAGUUCAAAUUUUGUGGUGAAAUCUAGAUUAUUUACCUUUUGAUUGUAAAUCUAAAGAUUGCUCAUGCACAGAUUAUGUUCUUGUCAACUCUUGCACAUUGGUGAAUUUCAUUUUAGCUGGUUUUCUCUUCUUUUCACCUGAUCUUUUCAUAUCUAUAGGCAUCCUAUCUAUUUAUUGCAGACUAGUGAACUUCCAUCAUUAUGUUCUUGAAAUCUUGAUUGUUCAACUUUUAAUUAUGAAUCGUAAGAUCAUCUGAGUUUUUUUUCUACAAUUCCUAUUGUAGCUCACUUAAUGCACAUAUAUUUACUCUGAUUUGGUUCUUGUCAACUCAUAAAUGGUGUUAAAUUGCAACUGAGAUACCUGUUAAAUCCAUGUAAAAUGACUAUUUUGCCACAUUUUUUUUUUAUUUUUACUAAUUCUUCUGUACAUGAACUCAUAACAAUGAACUUUGAAUCGACUGAUCCAGACUUCCAUUUAUACUUCUCAUGAACUGUAUCGUAUUUCUUAUUAGGAAUCAACUUUAUUGAUGUUAAAUCAACUCUCUUAACGUUUGUUUUUUCUUAUUUCAACAUGUUUCAUGUUUUGGUCUUUUCUAUCUUGCUCAUAUUUGUUGGUUGAAUCUUUCUAAUCUCUAAUAGUACCACUUUCAGGUAUAUAUUUAUUAUUCAUCUUUUUAUUUUGUUGGCUAAGCUUUUAAUUAAUGUAUUCUGUUGUGGUUUGAAAGAUAAAGGGAUAUCAUUGUCACUUCUAUGAGUUUUACUUUCUAUUCAAAAAUAUUAAUUCUCUGAUUUGUAGUUUUUACUAGUUUGCAGUUAAAGGGACUGGUUAUAUCAGUUAAAUCGAUUUACUUUCUUCGAAAUCCUUUCAUCUUUUUAAUAUUUUACUGUAAUGAGGAAGUUCAACUCUGUUUAUGACUUUCUUCUGGUUUUCCUUAACGGCAAAUUAAGCAGCUUUUUAUGUUGUUUAUUUGUUUUAUGAAGCAUCCUAAAAAUAAAAGUGUAGUGAGCUUUCAGCAUUCUAUAUAUAAUUAAAAACUAUAUUAUUUACCUUUUGAUAUUAAUAUUAAGAUCAUGUCAUCUUUUUUCUACAGUUUUGAUGGUGACACAAAAUGCAUAUAUGUUUACUCACUCAGAUUCAGCUCUUGUCAACUCCUGUAUGUUGCUAAAUUGCAAUCUAGAUUAUUAACCUUUUGAUUAUGAAUCUUAAGAUCGUAUCAAAAUUUUCUACUCAUAUUUAGUUAUUUCAAGCUAUGGAUGGUGAUUUUCUUCUCAUAUUUAGAUUAUUAACCUUUUUAUAACGGUGUAAUUAAGUUUCACGUUAUACUACUUGAAAUCUAAAAUAAUUAACCUUUUCAUUCGAGUAUAAGUUCAUUUGUUUUUACCCUUCUUUUUCGGGUCCCUCUAUAAGUUUUUUAUGUUCUCACCUUUUUAUAGUUUUUACUAGUUUCCACUUUAUUUUUUUUCCCCUUUUGAGUUCUGUCAAUGAGCUUUUUUAUGUAGUUGCACAUGAGCUAUGCUGUAGUAUAUUUGCCUUCUUAUUUGGAGAUGGAAAUUGUUCACUUCUCUUGAAUGUGUACCAAUUUUAUUUUUUUAAACUCAAUUAUUUUUAUGUUUUGACUUAAUAAGCCUAAUGGUUUAACUACUUAAUCCGGACAGCUAUAUAGAUGACUGUUUCUUUUUUAGUGUUUAAUACCCAGACAGAAUGAAUCAACUUAACUUAAUGUAUUAAGACACUAACAUUUUACAUAUCUGUCUUUUGUUACAAUGUUGAAUAUCUAUUAAUUUGUCGGAAAUUGAGGGUAAAAUUGUCAUUUAGUCUCAUUUAGACAGUUUAUUCAGUCUAAAAAGGAAACAUGCCUUAUGUAUACAACAUUUUAUCCAUACAAACUUCUCUACCCAUUCUAUGUCUACCUCUGUUAGCAUGUUUAUGUUGUUUAUAAGUUACAUGAAAUUGAUAAGCUUAGGCAUGAUGAUGAUAUUGAAGUGUCUUUGUUUUUAUACAGUCUUUAUAGUUGCUAUGAUGACUAAAUGCAGGUAUGUUUUACUCAUAUUUCCUUCUCAUCAACUCUCUAUUCAGACACUCGGUUCAUAGCUGUGUAGAUUAUUAUAUUAACCUUUUGAUUUUUAAUCUAAAGAGAAUCUCAUUCUUUUUCUACAGUUUCUAUGGUGGCAACAGGUUUAUGCAUCCAAAUAUUCUGUUUUUGUUAACUUGUGUGUGGUGGUAAAUUUGUAAUUGAGAUGGUUUAUCCUUUCUUAUUCACCUACUUCUCUUACAUCGCCUUUAGAUUUUCAUUAUGAAUCUUAAUUAAUAAAAUCUAAUUUAUUUAUUAUACAGGUGUGCUAUAUAUAGUGGAGCAAAAUACUGAAAGUUAGCUCUUCUCAACCGAUGCUUAAUUUGUGAAUUGAUACCACUGAUCAUAGCAAAGGCGAAAGAGACCAUAUCAACCUCUCCAAACUUUCCUUUUUAAAAAAAAAAUAAAAAAAUAUAAGGACCCUUUUAAGCCCUUAAUCUUAUGCUAAUUUUUAUGGAUCCUUGUUACUUACUGUAGGUUUAAACUCAGAGCAGGAUGAGGAUAAUAUGACUUUUAAAAGCCCAAAGCAGCUGGUUUGCUUUCAUCCAAAUUCUAAAUUGCUUUCUUAAUACAUUAAAAAAACUCUCUUAUAUAAUUAUAAAAAUAUAUUUAAUGUCUUAGCUUAUUUUUAUAGCUCAUUUUCACCUUAAUGAUCUUUUUUGAUUGACUAUUUUCAUUUUCCAACCUCUAGUUUGCACUUUGUUUUCGAAUAUUGACCAAAAAUGAUUUUUCUUGCAUAUUUGAUUGUUGUAGUUUCAUUUUUUUUUUUAAUAUAAGUUAGCUGUUAAAUCCAUGUAGAAUGACUAUUUUGCACUAAGUGUAUCCACAACAAUGAACUUUGAAGCAUAAUUGGCACUAAGUGUAUCCACAUGUUUAAUUGAUUAUGAUGAUUUUGAAAUCAUCUGGUCUUUUUUCUACAGCUGUUAUGGUGGCACUAAUUCAUGGUUGAGCUUAACUUAUUGUCAACUCUUCUUUGCAUGGUUAUUUUCUGUACACAAGUUAUGCACUAUUAAUAUAUGAUGUUUUUGAUUAAGCAAGCUAGGAGGCAUCCUGCAUUUUUAGAGCAAUCUAAUGAACUUUCAUCAUUCUAUGCUUCAACUUAUUAACUUUCUCAAAUCACAAUGGAGCUGGUUUUUUUUUUUUCUACAGUUACAUGGUGUUAAAUUGCAAUUGAGAUAGUUUGUUGUUUCUUAUUCACCCACUCUAUUCAAUUUACUACCAUCCUUACCUAUCAACUUUAAUCAUUUUUGUACUUAGAAAUUUAUAUCAAUAGCCUUAUACUACUAAAUUACAAAUUUUGUCCCUAUUAUAUAUAUAUAACCACUUGUUUUUUUUACGCUUCAUGCUGCCUAAAGUUAGCCAUUAAAUCCAUGUUAAAUGACUAUUUUGUCACCAUUUUAAUAUUUUUACUAAUUCUGUACAAGAAGUCACAACAAUGAACUUUGAAGCAAAUGAUUUUUACUUCUCAUGAGGUGUGUAGUAUUUACACUGUUUUUUUUUCCAACUAUUUGUCUGUUGUACACUAUUUAGUAGUAUAUUUCACAACAAUGAACUUUGAAGCAAAUUUUAGUUUGGGACUUUCUUCGUAAAUUAGGGUAAAAUUUUAGGACUUUUCUGGAGAUUUCCCUUUCUUUGUGAUUAUUAAUUCAGUAAUGCUCAAUGAUCAAAAUGAUUGGUUUCAUUUGUGCAGAAAGGGAUUCCUAUCCUAUCCUCCAAAGCAUGUGGAGAGGUAUUGAUGCUCCCCUCAGUUUUAAUUAUAAGAAAUUUCUUUUGAAUGGUAGUGUUUGAUUUCAGUGAUGUUUCUUAUUUAUGGUUCAAGGUUUGGUUUGGGAAUAUCCCUCAAUAGUUGGAUUUGUCAUGAAUUGUAUUUGUAGGUGAACUUUAUUGUCUUUUUUGUCCCACAAAAUGAUAAAGUUUUAACAUCAAGAUAAGUUUUCCCAUAUUUUAAAAACAUUAUUUUACCUCUUUUUUUACUAUUAAAGUUUUUGAUUUCCAUAUCUGGUAUUCUAUCUACAUAUGAGUUCCUCAUAUACUUAUUAAAGUGUGUUUUUUUAACUCAAAAGUCUUGACAAAACUACUAUGGCUGGUAAGUUUCAUGGUGAAAACUGUUUCUUCUUUUGUUUCUUGUUAUACAACCUUAAUUAAUGUGGUGUGGUUUAGGUUGUUUGCUCUUUCCUCUUCCUUUUGAUUUUUAACCUUUCUAUUAAGAUCAUAUCACCUCGUUUUUUAUAGUUUCUAUGAUGACUAAAUGCAUGUAUGUUCUACUCAUAUUUAGUCUUCUCAUCAACUCUUUAUUCAGACACUCGAUUCAUAGCAGUGUAUAGAUUAUUAUAUUAAACUUUUCAUUUUUAAUCUUAAGAGCAUCUCGUGAAUGAAUGGUGGAAAAUUGCAAUUGAGAUAGAUGGUUUGUCCUUUUUUAUUCACCUACAUCUCUUCCAUCCAAUUGAGAUGUUGGGGUCUUUUUCUUUAUUUAAUGAAAAUUUCCAUUAUUAACCUUUUCAUUAUGAAUCUUAAUAACAUCUAAUUUAUUUAUACAGAGUCUAUAGUGGAGGAAAACACACAUAUAUGCUCACUGAAAGUCAGUUCUUGUCAACUUUUAGAUUUGUUGAUGAGUAAGCAAGCCCAAAAAAUGUGUCUUCAACCCAUGUCUAUGUAUUUCAUAUAAGGCUUUUUGCUUUUAAAAAUCUAUCAUAUUUUUCAACAUGAAGGCAUUUUCUUUUGAAAAAUCAAACCAAACAUGACAUCAUAUCUUCAUUUUUUACAUAAUAAGCACACUUCCCUUUAAAAACUCAACCCAUUUAUAGCAUUGCACUUUUUAGUUUUAUUUGUGUUAAAACGUUGCAACUCUCGAUGCAUUUUACUUUGAAAAAUAUUCAUCUUUUUCUAUGGUUGCUAUACCAAAUGUACAUCAUCUGUUUACUUAGAUUCAGUUCUUGUCAACUCUUGCAUACUGGUAAAUUACAAUUCAGUUCUUGGAAUUUAAGAUUAUAAGUAACCUUUUGAUUUGACCUUGUUUUCCCUUCUUUUUUCGGGUCUCUCUAUAAAGUUUUAUGUGCUCACAUAUUUAAUAGUUUUUACUAGUUUCCAGUUUAUUAUUUUCCCUUUUUGAGUUCUUUCCAUGACCUUGUUUAUGUUGUUAUACAUGAGCUAUGCAGUAAUAUAUCUGCCUUCUUAUCUGGAGAUGGAAAUUGUUCACUUCUCUUGAAUGUGUAUCAUUUUUCUCGAAAUCUUGAUUGUUAAACUUUUAAUUAUGAAUGCUAAGAUCAUUUGUGCUUUUUUCUUCAAUGCAUGUGGAUUUUGUUCUUGUCGAUUCAUAAAUGGUGUUAAAUUGCAAUUGAGAUAGUUUGUUGUUUCUUAUUCGCCCACUCUAUUCAUUUUACUACCAUCCUAUCUAUGAAGCAGUGCAAUGAACUUUUAUCAUUUUGCAUUUAGGAAUUUAUAUUAAUAACCUUCUAGUUAGUGUUUGAUAACAUCUCAUUGUUUUUCAAACAAAUUU
Molecule: non-coding RNA, 6277 nt
Organism: Lactuca sativa (garden lettuce)
Lineage: Eukaryota; Viridiplantae; Streptophyta; Magnoliopsida; Asterales; Asteraceae
Source: RefSeq, a predicted model, not a curated record